AGUAAAUAUUUGGUGAAUAUGUCCUUAUCAUUCAACACAAGCUCUCUACUGUGGUUUUAAAACACUCUGCCAUUUCUUUCAUCUUAAAACUAGCCAGGGGAGAGGAAGAAGUUGGAAGUGAUCACUAGAAAUUGAACAUCAUUUUUUGAAAAAUGUCAAGCACUUGUUUUGAGUGAGACUCUGACUGGACAGAUAAGGGAAGCAAACAACCUGGCAGUGGCAUCCUUAAGUGAUGAUUUCAGUGUUCAUAAUGCCCUAGCUAAUCUAUUUCUUGUGGCCUCUGUAUUCUCAAAUCAAGAAUAUUCCUUGAAGAACUUAUCGCAGAGUUAACAUGAUAAACAGCAGGCACUGAAUUGAGAAUACAUCAGGGAGCCUGAAAUGACUCCAGGUUAACUAUCAAAGCGAGGAAUCCUCAUUAAAACUGUAACUUCCUUCCUCUAAUUCAAGAUCUUGGGGUAUUAACUGAAGACUUGGUGAAUGUGUGCACAACAGCAAAGACAAAUCAACCAAGAAAGGGACAAAGAGAUCUGGGGCUAAGGGAAAAGAUGGAUAAAGGGUCAGAGAAAGAUGAACAUUGGCCUUAAAGAUAAAGCAGUCACAUUGAAGAAGAAGUAAUUAUUCCACACAUAGCAGACUAUGCUGAUCGUUGUCCCAAUUGCCUCUUCCUUCUUUGUUAUUGUUCAUGAAGCUCCGAUUUUUCCAGACAUAUUCCUUGAAGGUAGAAUCACUGUCAGCAGAGUCCUUGCCAGGAACAACUUUCCAGUGAAGGAGACAAUGGAAAUUUGGACAACAUUUUGAAAACCACUAACAGUAACAACGUGUUAAUAAUAAUUAAAACAUUAAGAUGAAGAAGACAAAGGAGAAAUAUGAAGGGAUUGCUAACUGCUGGUGUUCUGCAUUUGUUUUCUUAUUUAAUCCUCAUCAUAACCUUAUGAGGAAAAGAGAGAAAUUGCUGGCAGAAAAUAAUGAAAACACAAGGACUUGUGCUAUGUGCUGAAAGAAUUGCUCCUGAAACGAUAAAGGUGAAAUGCAGAUAAAGACAAUCAAGAUACAGCCUUUUUUAAAAAAUUAUUUC
This 1075-nucleotide long non-coding RNA is filed under the name Pan troglodytes (chimpanzee). RNAcentral describes it as "long non-coding RNA NONPTRT013667". Lineage: Eukaryota; Metazoa; Chordata; Mammalia; Primates; Hominidae. The record is from RNAcentral.